GAGUUUGAUCCUGGCUCAGAACGAACGCUGGCGGCAUGCCUAACACAUGCAAGUCGAACGCACCGCAAGGUGAGUGGCGGACGGGUGAGUAACGCGUGGGAACCUGCCCUUUAGUACGGAAUAACCGCGGGAAACUGCGGCUAAUACCGUAUACGCCCUACGGGGAAAGGAUUUAUCGCUAAAGGAUGGGCCCGCGUCGGAUUAGCUAGUUGGUGAGGUAAAGGCUUACCAAGGCGUCGAUCAGUAGCUGGUCUGAGAGGACGACCAGCCACACUGGGACUGAGACACGGCCCAGACUCCUACGGGAGGCAGCAGUGGGGAAUUUUGGACAAUGGGGGAAACCCUGAUCCAGCCAUGCCGCGUGAGUGAAGAAGGCC
Molecule: ribosomal RNA, 377 nt
Filed under: uncultured beta proteobacterium
Lineage: Bacteria; Pseudomonadati; Pseudomonadota; Betaproteobacteria
Description: bacterial SSU rRNA
Rfam family: Bacterial small subunit ribosomal RNA
Source: RNAcentral